GAUGAACGCUGGCGGCGUGCCUAAUACAUGCAAGUCGAGCGAACGGACGAGAAGCUUGCUUCUCUGAUGUUAGCGGCGGACGGGUGAGUAACACGUGGAUAACCUACCUAUAAGACUGGGAUAACUUCGGGAAACCGGAGCUAAUACCGGAUAAUAUUUUGAACCGCAUGGUUCAAAAGUAAAAGACGGUCUUGCUGUCACUUAUAGAUGGAUCCGCGCUGCAUUAGCUAGUUGGUAAGGUAACGGCUUACCAAGGCAACGAUGCAUAGCCGACCUGAGAGGGUGAUCGGCCACACUGGAACUGAGACACGGUCCAGACUCCUACGGGAGGCAGCAGUAGGGAAUCUUCCGCAAUGGGCGAAAGCCUGACGGAGCAACGCCGCGUGAGUGAUGAAGGUCUUCGGAUCGUAAAACUCUGUUAUUAGGGAAGAAUAUAUGUGUAAGUAACUGUGCACAUCUUGACGGUACCUAAUCAGAAAGCCACGGCUAACUACGUGCCAGCAGCCGCGGUAAUACGUAGGUGGCAAGCGUUAUCCGGAAUUAUUGGGCGUAAAGCGCGCGUAGGCGGUUUUUUAGUCUGAUGUGAAAGCCCACGGCUCAACCGUGGAGGGUCAUUGGAAACUGGAAAACUUGAGUGCAGAAGAGGAAAGUGGAAUUCCAUGUGUAGCGGUGAAAUGCGCAGAGAUAUGGAGGAACACCAGUGGCGAAGGCGACUUUCUGGUCUGUAACUGACGCUGAUGUGCGAAAGCGUGGGGAUCAAACAGGAUUAGAUACCCUGGUAGUCCACGCCGUAAACGAUGAGUGCUAAGUGUUAGGGGGUUUCCGCCCCUUAGUGCUGCAGCUAACGCAUUAAGCACUCCGCCUGGGGAGUACGACCGCAAGGUUGAAACUCAAAGGAAUUGACGGGGACCCGCACAAGCGGUGGAGCAUGUGGUUUAAUUCGAAGCAACGCGAAGAACCUUACCAAAUCUUGACAUCCUUUGACAACUCUAGAGAUAGAGCCUUCCCCUUCGGGGGACAAAGUGACAGGUGGUGCAUGGUUGUCGUCAGCUCGUGUCGUGAGAUGUUGGGUUAGGUCCCGCAACGAGCGCAACCCUUAAGCUUAGUUGCCAUCAUUAAGUUGGGCACUCUAAGUUGACUGCCGGUGACAAACCGGAGGAAGGUGGGGAUGACGUCAAAUCAUCAUGCCCCUUAUGAUUUGGGCUACACACGUGCUACAAUGGACAAUACAAAGGGCAGCGAAACCGCGAGGUCAAGCAAAUCCCAUAAAGUUGUUCUCAGUUCGGAUUGUAGUCUGCAACUCGACUACAUGAAGCUGGAAUCGCUAGUAAUCGUAGAUCAGCAUGCUACGGUGAAUACGUUCCCGGGUCU
Molecule: ribosomal RNA, 1371 nt
Filed under: uncultured bacterium
Lineage: Bacteria
Description: bacterial SSU rRNA
Rfam family: Bacterial small subunit ribosomal RNA
Source: RNAcentral